GCAUGCAGGCGGUUUGUUAAGCGAGAUGUGAAAGCCCCGGGCUCAACCUGGGAACUGCAUUUCGAACUGGCAAACUAGAGUUCUUGAGAGGGUGGUAGAAUUUCAGGUGUAGCGGUGAAAUGCGUAGAGAUCUGAAGGAAUACCAGUGGCGAAGGCGGCCACCUGGCAAGUAACUGACGCUCAGAUGCGAAAGCGUGGGUAGCAAACGGGAUUAGAUACCCCGGUAGUCCACGCCGUAAACGAUGUCUACUCGGAGUUUGGUUCCUUGAGAACUGGGCUCUUAAGCUAACGCAUUAAGUAGACCGCCUGGGGAGUACGGCCGCAAGGUUAAAACUCAAAUGAAUUGACGGGGGCCCGCACAAGCGGUGGAGCAUGUGGUUUAAUUCGAUGCAACGCGAAGAACCUUACCUACUCUUGACAUCCACAGAACCUGUCAGAGAUGAAUUGGUGCCUUCGGGAACUAUGAGACAGGUGCUGCAUGGCUGUCGUCAGCUCGUGUUGUGAAAUGUUGGGUUAAGUCCCGCAACGAGCGCAACCCUUAUCCUUAUUUGCCAGCACGUAAUGGUGGGAACUCUAAGGAGACUGCCGGUGAUAAACCGGAGGAAGGUGGGGACGACGUCAAGUCAUCAUGGCCCUUACGAGUAGGGCUACACACGUGCUACAAUGGCGCAUACAAAGGGCUGCAAACCAGCGAUGGUAAGCGAAUCCCAUAAAGUGCGUCGUAGUCCGGAUUGGGGUCUGCAACUCGACCCCAUGAAGUCGGAAUCGCUAGUAAUCGUGAAUC
RNAcentral lists this ribosomal RNA (784 nucleotides) under Moritella sp. SP016. RNAcentral's name for it is "bacterial SSU rRNA". It matches the Rfam family "Bacterial small subunit ribosomal RNA", at positions 567 to 1350 of the family's 1533-position model. The record is from RNAcentral. Lineage: Bacteria; Pseudomonadati; Pseudomonadota; Gammaproteobacteria; Alteromonadales; Moritellaceae.